AGAGUUUGAUCCUGGCUCAGAUUGAACGCUGGCGGCAUGCCUUACACAUGCAAGUCGAACGGCAGCACGGACUUCGGUCUGGUGGCGAGUGGCGAACGGGUGAGUAAUGUAUCGGAACGUGCCUGGUAGUGGGGGAUAACUAGUCGAAAGAUUAGCUAAUACCGCAUACGACCUACAGGUGAAAGCAGGGGACCUUCGGGCCUUGUGCUAUCAGAGCGGCCGAUAUCUGAUUAGCUAGUUGGUGGGGUAAAGGCCCACCAAGGCGACGAUCAGUAGCUGGUUUGAGAGAACGACCAGUCACACUGGAACUGAGACACGGUCCAGACUCCUACGGGAGGCAGCAGUGGGGAAUAUUGGACAAUGGGGCAACCCUGAUCCAGCCAUGCCGCGUGUGUGAAGAAGGCCUUCGGGUUGUAAAGCACUUUAAGUGGGGAGGAAGGCUCGCUGGUUAAUAGUCAGCGGGAGUGACGUUACCCACAGAAUAAGCACCGGCAAACUCCGUG
Molecule: ribosomal RNA, 503 nt
Filed under: uncultured bacterium
Lineage: Bacteria
Description: bacterial SSU rRNA
Rfam family: Bacterial small subunit ribosomal RNA
Source: RNAcentral